RNAcentral lists this ribosomal RNA (546 nucleotides) under Triticum aestivum (bread wheat). RNAcentral describes it as "partial small subunit ribosomal RNA". The record is from RNAcentral. Lineage: Eukaryota; Viridiplantae; Streptophyta; Magnoliopsida; Poales; Poaceae.
AUGUCAGGGACCCAAGGUUGGGCAGACCUCCCAGAAGGCCUGUUGCACUGUAUCAUCGCUCGGAUGGGCCUGGGCUCUGCCCCGGAUCUUCUUGCAUUUGCUGCCACGUGCCGCUCUUGGGGUACUGCUUUUGCCGGCUCCAUAGCAACAUUCCCACCUCUCCUUCUCCAACCUGAUGGCUCUUCUUCCCCUCUUAAUGCUAGCCCCUUUAGCAACAACCUGGUGCCCAAUCGUCCAUAUCUUGUCACAGAUAUAGCCAAAGUCAACCAAGGUGCCAUCCUUUGCUCUGAAAUUCCUCUACGUCUAGAAUGGUUUUCCUUCAUGGGGGCUUCAUUUGGCCAUCUCAUUUUGUACAACAAAAAAUCUUGUAUCGUUGUUGAUGUGUCUAGAGGUGUUAGCGUCUCACCUCCACAACUACCACUCGUUGAAUGUGCUGAGCCCAACUAUGGUGCCCUACUGCUCCUCUCACAUCACCCAACUCUCAUCUCAUUAUCGAGGCUGGACCACAUAAUCUGUUUCGGCGUGUUGGUACCGAUUCAUGGGUGA